UGCUGCAUGGCUGUCGUCAGCUCGUGUCGUGAGAUGUUGGGUUAAGUCCCGUAACGAGCGCAACCCUUGUCCUUAGUUACCAGCACGUAAUGGUGGGCACUCUAAGGAGACUGCCGGUGACAAACCGGAGGAAGGUGGGGAUGACGUCAAGUCAUCAGGGCCCUUACGGCCUGGGCUACACACGUGCUACAAUGGUCGGUACAGAGGGUUGCCAAGCCGCGAGGUGGAGCUAAUCCCAUAAAACCGAUCGUAGUCCGGAUCGCAGUCUGCAACUCGACUGCGUGAAGUCGGAAUCGCUAGUAAUCGAGAAUCAGAAUGUGGCGGGAAUACGUUCCCGGGUCUGUACACAC
This 350-nucleotide ribosomal RNA is filed under the name uncultured bacterium. Its description in RNAcentral is "bacterial SSU rRNA". It matches the Rfam family "Bacterial small subunit ribosomal RNA", at positions 1039 to 1390 of the family's 1533-position model. The record is from RNAcentral.